This 330-nucleotide ribosomal RNA is filed under the name Candidatus Falkowbacteria bacterium RIFOXYC2_FULL_47_12. Its description in RNAcentral is "bacterial LSU rRNA". It matches the Rfam family "Bacterial large subunit ribosomal RNA", at positions 2557 to 2900 of the family's 2925-position model. Lineage: Bacteria; Candidatus Falkowiibacteriota. The record is from RNAcentral.
AGAAGCUCCCAAGGGUUUGGCUGUUCGCCAAUUAAAGAGGCACGCGAGCUGGGUUCAAACCGUCGUAAGACAGGUUGGUCUCCUAUCCGCUAUGGGCGUAGAAACUUGAGAAGGCCCUUCCUUAGUACGAGAGGACCGGGAAGGACGAAGCACUAGUGUGCCGGUUGUUCCACCAGGAGCAUUGCCGGGUAGCUACCUUCGGUUUGGAUAAGCGCUGAAAGCAUCUAAGCGCGAAGCCGUCUUCAAGAUUAGGUUUCAUAGACUCGUCAGAGACGAUGACGUUGAUAGGCCCUAGGUGUAAGUCCCGCAAGGGAUGUCACCCGCCCGGUA